GGCCCCUGACGUGCGCGGGGCCCUCAGCUCCGGGGGUUUCAGGCACGACGCCCACUCGGGAACCGGGGGCUCGUCGUGGCCUCGAACCGGAGGCUUCGGGGCCACGGGGGGCGAAGGCUUCUUCUGGGGGUUGAAGGUGGCAGCCUCGGCCCCCAGGCCCAGGCUGUCGUCCUCCUCGGCCAGCGCCUCGCCCUGGCCGCCCUUCCUCUUCUGGACGUCGAUGCCCUGCACCAGGGACAGGAGCUCGGGGUUGGGCGCCACCUUGGGCUUCUCGGAGAAGCAUAUGGAUGAACAGCCCAUUUACACAGUCCAUUAAUACCGUGAGGGCAUUGUGAAUCAUAGUGUGGGACAGGAGAUGCGCACACACCCAGUCGAGGGGGAUGAAAGAGAGAGCCAUGCACAACAGCAGCGAUUCUGUCCGAAUCGGUCAUAGCGCCCACUGGGUCGCACGCAACUUCUUAAAGCAACAACGGGGUAGGACGAUCAGAGUUCGCUCUGUAUGUAUGUAUGUGUGUGUGUUCACCUGAACUUUGAUGUGCUUUCCGGUCUCCGCCCUCGUGUCACAGAAAGCUUACAGCGCACGGGAGCAGGCCGUUCGGCCUGGCCUGUCUGUGCCGGCUCUCCGAAAGAGCGCCUCACCCGGUUGCCCUUCUCCCCGUCACCCCUUACAUCCUCUUCAAAUUACUGUCCUCAUUCCUUCUCGAAAGCCUACAUUGAGCCUGCCUCCACCAGACUGUUAGGCAGUGCGCUCACCAAAUCCUAACUAUGAGACCCAGAAGAGGCAGGAACGAAGUAGGCCAUU
Molecule: long non-coding RNA, 802 nt
Organism: Rhincodon typus (whale shark)
Lineage: Eukaryota; Metazoa; Chordata; Chondrichthyes; Orectolobiformes; Rhincodontidae
Exons: 3
Source: RefSeq, a predicted model, not a curated record